CGGGUGAGUAACGCGUGGAAAACCUGCCGUAUACUGGGGGAUAACACUUAGAAAUAGGUGCUAAUACCGCAUAAGCGCACAGCUUCGCAUGAAGUGGUGUGAAAAACUCUGGUGGUAUACGAUGGUUCCGCGUCUGAUUAGCUUGUUGGUGGGGUAAUGGCUCACCAAGGCGACGAUCAGUAGCCGGACUGAGAGGUUGACCGGCCACAUUGGGACUGAGAUACGGCCCAGACUCCUACGGAAGGCAGCAG
RNAcentral lists this ribosomal RNA (251 nucleotides) under uncultured bacterium. RNAcentral's name for it is "partial 16S ribosomal RNA". It matches the Rfam family "Bacterial small subunit ribosomal RNA", at positions 103 to 354 of the family's 1533-position model. The record is from RNAcentral.